AUGAACAUGGAGCCUGCUCCGGGGGAUUAGUGGCGAACGGGUGAGUAACACGUGAGUAAUCUGCCCUUCACUCUGGGAUAACCUCCGGAAACGGAAUCUAAUACCGGAUAUGACGCUCGGAGGCAUCUCCUAUGCGUGGAAAGAAUUUCGGUCAAGGAUGGACUCGCGGCCUAUCAGGUAGUUGGUGAGGUAACGGCCCACCAAGCCUACGACGGGUAGCCGGCCUGAGAGGGUGACCGGCCACACUGGGACUGAGACACGGCCCAGACUCCUACGGGAGGCAGCAGUGGGGAAUAUUGCACAAUGGGCGCAAGCCUGAUGCAGCAACGCCGCGUGAGGGACGACGGCCUUCGGGUUGUAAACCUCUUUUAGCAGGGAAGAAGCGAAAGUGACGGUACCUGCAGAAAAAGCACCGGCUAACUACGUGCCAGCAGCCGCGGUAAUACGUAGGGUGCAAGCGUUGUCCGGAAUUAUUGGGCGUAAAGAGCUCGUAGGCGGUUUGUCGCGUCUGCUGUGAAAACCCGAGGCUCAACCUCGGGCCUGCAUUGGGUACGGGCAAACUAGAGUGCGGUAGGGGAGAUUGGAAUUCCUGGUGUAGCGGUGGAAUGCGCAGAUAUCAGGAGGAACACCGAUGGCGAAGGCAGAUCUCUGGGCCGUAACUGACGCUGAGGAGCGAAAGCGUGGGGAGCGAACAGGAUUAGAUACCCUGGUAGUCCACGCCGUAAACGUUGGGAACUAGAUGUGGGGACCAUUCCACGGUCUCCGUGUCGCAGCUAACGCAUUAAGUGCCCCGCCUGGGGAGUACGGCCGCAAGGCUAAAACUCAAAGGAAUUGACGGGGGCCCGCACAAGCGGCGGAGCAUGCGGAUUAAUUCGAUGCAACGCGAAGAACCUUACCAAGGCUUGACAUAUACCAGAACCGGCCAGAAAUGGUCGACUCUUUGUACACUCUUAUACGGGUGGUGCAGGGUUGUCUUCACCUCGGGUCUGGAAAUGUUGGGUUAAUUCCCGCACCAAGCCGCACCCCUCUUUCUAUGUUGCCACCACGUCUAUGGUGGGAACUCAUUCACACUGCCGGGGUCAACUCGAAUGAAAGUGGGGAUGACAUCAAAUCAUCAUGCCCCUUAUGUCUUGUCCUUCACUCAUGCUACGAUGGCCGGUACAAAGGGCUGAACUACCAUACCGUGAAGCGAAUCCAAUCAAGCCGGUCUCAUUUCAGAUUGAAGUUCUGCAACUUCAACCUCAUGAAAUCAGAUUCGAUUCUAAUCUAAUAUCAGAUACGCUGCGCUGAAUACAUUCCCUGCCCUUGUACUCACCGCCCCGUCCAGUCAUGAAAGUCAGGUAACACCCCAACCCGGUGGCCUAACCCUUGUGUAAGGAGCCGUCCAAAUGUGGGAAUCGGUGAUUAGGACUUAGGUCCUAAACAAGGUA
Molecule: ribosomal RNA, 1430 nt
Filed under: Leifsonia sp.
Lineage: Bacteria; Bacillati; Actinomycetota; Actinomycetes; Micrococcales; Microbacteriaceae
Description: bacterial SSU rRNA
Rfam family: Bacterial small subunit ribosomal RNA
Source: RNAcentral